This 339-nucleotide long non-coding RNA is filed under the name Elaeis guineensis (African oil palm). RNAcentral's name for it is "long non-coding RNA (EGUI_LNC033332)". Lineage: Eukaryota; Viridiplantae; Streptophyta; Magnoliopsida; Arecales; Arecaceae. The record is from RNAcentral.
ACCUUCAUUUGCUGCAUCAAGGCAGUAAUUUAUGCGUCCGUAGUAAUUACAGGAUGCGAAGAGCUGGGCUCUGCCAAUAGAAGAGGAAAAAGAAUAUCUUUUCGGCGGAAAGAUUGCCUUGCGGAUCCUGUUGAAUGCUGAGCUCUGUUCUUAGCCAUGAUUGCUCGUAUCCUUCCCUUGGCGCGCCAAUUGUUACCGUCAAUCUCCUAUUGCAUCCAUUACUGGAGAAGAGCACCUGCAAAAGAAGUCCACACUGAUCGAAGUUGUGUCCGGCAGAGACCUUCCGAUGCUUAAGUCAGUAAAGAGUGGUGAACAGUAGAUAGAAAAUUCAAAAUAGCA